GUGCUCACUUUGCAGGUCCUACACUAAAACUGGAACGAUACAGAGAUCAGCAUGGCCACUGCAUAAGGAUGACUCGAAAAUUCAUGAAGCAUUCCAUAUAUCU
Molecule: small nuclear RNA, 103 nt
Organism: Mesocricetus auratus (golden hamster)
Lineage: Eukaryota; Metazoa; Chordata; Mammalia; Rodentia; Cricetidae
Source: Ensembl